Molecule: long non-coding RNA, 644 nt
Organism: Chinchilla lanigera (long-tailed chinchilla)
Lineage: Eukaryota; Metazoa; Chordata; Mammalia; Rodentia; Chinchillidae
Exons: 4
Source: RefSeq, a predicted model, not a curated record
GGUCACUGUGACAUCCACUGACCGCGGAGGCGGCUUCCGCUUGGAGCCGUUGGGGUCCAGUUCUGAGGUGCCGGCUUCAGGAGUUCCCCAGAAAUGCUGUCAGCAAUCAAGUUGAGGAAUUUGGAUGAGAUGACUGAAUCAAAGAAGGCCAACUAUUUCAGAAAAAAGAAAAAAUUGAUAUAUCUAAAGCUACCUCCAAAAAGAAGGAAGGAAGAAUUUGUCUCAAACAACCAUCUGAUUUCUUCCAGGCAAUGAGGAGUGACCUUGCCCAUUUAAGAAGCAAAGGGCCAGGGGAUUACCAAGACAUAUUCAAUGGGAUCAUCUGCACAUCUGUUUCUUCCUAAGAUCUAAGACCUUCGCUGCCUUCUUAUAAAGGUUCAGGUCCUUUACCUGACAGGAUUGUGACUCCUGUCUCUUCCACCUGCCACAAAGCCAGAAGAAACAGAAAACCGACAAGUGAAGUUUGGGAAGGUCGCUCAUUCCAGCAGCAUUGGUCUUGCAUGUACCAGAUUCACUUUCGUAUGGAUUCAUCCUUCACACUGAAAAGAUGUGCUUAGGUGAGCACUAAAGCAUAAAGCUCACUAGGAAUCUCAAUGUUUCUCUUGGUGGAAGUAUUCUUUAAAAAUAAAUGCUGGGGGCUGGGG